Eubalaena glacialis (North Atlantic right whale) is the source of this 118-nucleotide small nuclear RNA. RefSeq annotates it as U5 spliceosomal RNA. Lineage: Eukaryota; Metazoa; Chordata; Mammalia; Artiodactyla; Balaenidae. The transcript has a single exon. The record is from RefSeq and is a predicted model, not a curated record.
AUAUUGUGGUUUCUUUUCGCAUCAAAUAAGUUUUUCGCUUUUUACUAAAGAUUUCCGUGGAAAGAAACAGUUUCGAGUGUUUGCUUAAGUAUACGAGAUUGUGUGUUUUAGCAAGAGU